GACGAACGCUGGCGGCGUGCUUAACACAUGCAAGUCGAACGGAAAGGCCUCUUUUUGGUGGUACACGCGUGGCGAACGGGUGAGUAACACGUGAGUAACCUGCCCUUGACAUUGUGAUAACUUCAGGAAACUGUGGCUAAUACCGGGUAUAAGCUCCUGCUGCAUGGUGGGGGUUGGAAAGUUUCUGCGGUUGGGGAUGGACUCGCGGCUUAUCAGCUUGUUGGUGGGGUAGUGGCUUACCAAGGCUUUGACGGGUAGCCGGCCUGAGAGGGUGAACGGCCACAUUGGGACUGAGAUACGGCCCAGACUCCUACGGGAGGCAGCAGUGGGGAAUAUUGCACAAUGGGCGGAAGCCUGAUGCAGCGACGCCGUGUGGGGGAUGACGGCCUUCGGGUUGUAAACCGCUUUCGAUCAUGACGAAGCUUUGUGUGACGGUAGUGGGUAAAGAAGCACCGGCUAACUACGUG
Molecule: ribosomal RNA, 467 nt
Filed under: uncultured bacterium
Lineage: Bacteria
Description: partial 16S ribosomal RNA
Rfam family: Bacterial small subunit ribosomal RNA
Source: RNAcentral